RNAcentral lists this ribosomal RNA (774 nucleotides) under uncultured Neocallimastigales. Its description in RNAcentral is "partial large subunit ribosomal RNA". It matches the Rfam family "Eukaryotic large subunit ribosomal RNA", at positions 26 to 616 of the family's 3401-position model. The record is from RNAcentral. Lineage: Eukaryota; Fungi; Neocallimastigomycota; Neocallimastigomycetes; Neocallimastigales.
CGCAUCUGUGCAUGCAGCAUAUCAAUAAGCGGAGGAAAAGAAACUAACAAGGAUUCCCCUAGUAACGGCGAGUGAAGCGGGAAGAGCUCAAAUUUGAAAUCUUAAAGGGUUUCCUUUUACGAAUUGUAGUUUAAAGAAGUGUUUUCUGUUGAGGUUUUGGUAAAAGUUCUUUGGAAUAGGACAUCAUAGAGGGUGAGAAUCCCGUAUUUGACCUUUACUUUCAACUUUGUGAUACACUUUCAAAGAGUCGGAUUGUUUGGGAAUGCAGUCCAAAAUGGGUGGUAAAUUUCAUCUAAAGCUAAAUAUUGGCGAGAGACCGAUAGCGAACAAGUACCGUGAGGGAAAGAUGAAAAGAACUUUGAAAAGAGAGUUAAACAGUACGUGAAAUUGUCAAAAGGGAAGCGUUUGACACCAGUGUUGUUUUUCUGAAAAUCAAUUAAAGAACUGUUUAUGCUAAGUUGUUUAGACUUUAUCAGCUAACUGUUUAGUUUUGAGCUUUUCUUUAAUGCACUUUUCAGUUAACAAGUCAACAUCAAUUUCUUUUGCUGUAAAAAAGCUUGAGGAAGGUGGCUUGAGAUUCGUCUUAAGUGUUUAUAGCCUCUUGCCUAUGCAGUCGGAGAGAUUGAGGUCUGCAGCGUAGAUCCUUCGGGGCUAAAUGCAUUUGUGCUAAGUUAUAGCAUUUUAUAGACAACUUGUUGACUAUGAUUUGUCUUGUAGCUUACUCGCUUAUGUUAUUUUACCUACGCUUAGGAUGUUGAGCGCAUGUCUCUCUCU